GAGAGAUAAUCGAAUUUAUUUCUGUUCAACGAAGCUUCCUCGAUUAUUAAGUAACACAUACUCAAAAAUAAAAUAAAAAGUACAUACGUAGUCUAGGAAAUAUAAGGGCAAGGGCAACGACGGCUUAUUCGUCCGUUCCUCCCAUUAAAAAAAACAAAAAACAAAAAAUGAAAAAGAAAAUUUGGACGUAUCCAUAAUCGCGACCGUUCUUCGCUUUUUUCUUCAUUAAUCGCGGACCCCAUUAACACGUGGUGGCCCACAAAUAGUUUUUUUUUUUUUUUAAAGCUAAAACUAAAAAAAAAAAAAAAUUCUGCUGGAGGACGUAAAACGGAUGCACACGCUCUAAGACCAUCUUAAUUUGGGACUCUAUAUUAUAAAAGGAUAAAAGAUAGGGAAGGCCCGAUCAAGUUAUAGAAUAGGUAAAGCCUAAAGGUAGGAAUGAGUCAUAUGGGCCGGGAAUGAGUGAAGAAGACAAUACAAUCUUAAUUAUUCUGUUUUUUUGAUAAAUCCAAAAGGAUCCAAUAUUACGGGGAAUGAUAUAUGUAUAUUACGUUACAAAAAUAUUACAAUUCAUAAAAUUUAAAAGAGUGUGAAGGGUAUUCGUGUAAAGAAUCCAGUGAUAUUCUGAAAUCUGAAUCAUCUGAUCCAAGCAUGACUAAGUCUAUAAUUAAGUUAGGAAAUUACUAAAAUAGUGACAAAACUUUCUAAAAAAAAAAAAAAGAGAGAAUCGAAAGAUGGGAAAAAGGUUAAAUACUGUUAGCAAAUUGAUGAAUUCACGAACUACACCAAUACGAC
This 795-nucleotide long non-coding RNA is filed under the name Capsella rubella. RNAcentral's name for it is "long non-coding RNA (CRUB_LNC003984)". The record is from RNAcentral. Lineage: Eukaryota; Viridiplantae; Streptophyta; Magnoliopsida; Brassicales; Brassicaceae.